CUACGGGGGGCAGCAGUGGGGGAUCUUAGACAAUGGGCGCAAGCCUGAUCUAGCCAUGCCGCGUGAGUGAUGAAGGCCUUAGGGUCGUAAAGCUCUUUCGCUGGGGAAGAUAAUGACGGUACCCAGUAAAGAAACCCCGGCUAACUCCGUGCCAGCAGCCGCGGUAAUACGGAGGGGGUUAGCGUUGUUCGGAAUUACUGGGCGUAAAGCGCGCGUAGGCGGACUGUUAAGUCGGGGGUGAAAGCCCGGGGCUCAACCCCGGAACGGCCUUCGAUACUGGCAGUCUGGAGUUCGAGAGAGGUGAGUGGAAUUCCGAGUGUAGAGGUGAAAUUCGUAGAUAUUCGGAGGAACACCAGUGGCGAAGGCGGCUCACUGGCUCGAUACUGACGCUGAGGUGCGAAAGUGUGAGGAGCAAACAGGAUUAGAUACCCUAGUAGUC
Molecule: ribosomal RNA, 439 nt
Filed under: uncultured bacterium
Lineage: Bacteria
Description: partial 16S ribosomal RNA
Rfam family: Bacterial small subunit ribosomal RNA
Source: RNAcentral